Gambusia affinis (western mosquitofish) is the source of this 2218-nucleotide long non-coding RNA. RefSeq lists it as uncharacterized. NCBI's taxonomy places the organism in Eukaryota, Metazoa, Chordata, Actinopteri, Cyprinodontiformes, Poeciliidae. The transcript has 2 exons. The record is from RefSeq and is a predicted model, not a curated record.
UUAUGUGCUCUAUCUUCCUGGUUUUAGUGAGAACACGAGCAGCAGCAUUUUGGAUCAACUGCAGCUGUUUGAUUGAUUUGUUGGACAGACCUGUGAAGACGCUGUUACAAGGUUACAAGGUUCCUCAAACACAAUUUGCGACCUGGGAUAAGAUAAUAUCAAGAUUCAUUUGGGGCGGAAAAAAAACCUAGAGUUAAAUAUGAAACUCUUCAGCUACCGAAAGACAAGGGAGGUAUGGGUCUCCCAAAACUAAGGGAGUACUUUUGUGCAGCUCAACUCAGGCAUGUAAUAUGCUGGUGCACACCAGAAUACAUAGCUAAGUGGAAAGAUAUGGAGAAAGAAUUUGGAGGAUACCCAAUUCAAAGUGUUAUUGGAGAUGAAGAUAGAUAUGAGAAAAUCAAGAAAUACAUGGACCCAAUUACAGUGUUCACACUGGAAUUGUGGUUCAAAACAUUAAAAAAAACACAAGAUAAAGAAAGAAAUGAAGGUGCUCCGCUGGAUAGCAUAUGAUAAUGAAUUCAAACCAGCAAUGUAUGAUAAAGGGUUCAAACAAUGGAUAAAUAAGGGGGUCACAGGAUGGUAUACCCUUCUGAAAGAUGGGGAGCUUGUGAUGUUUACAGUGUACCCUGUGUUUCUUGUUCAGCCAAUCCAAGUCACGCCCCUCAUUUCCGUUAUUCCUCGCACUUGUGUUUCUCCCUAAUUGUCUCCCUUCUUAAACCUCCCUCAGUCACAACCAAGCUGCCAGAUUAUCGAACGCUUUCAGCUAGUAGUUUUCCAGCACUCUUACCUCGCCCUUAUAAUCACGACCACGCCUUGUUCCUCGGACCUGUUCCUUUUGCCUCGCCCUUGUCGGACUAUUACUGAUUGCCUUUCUGGAUCUCGACCCACGCCUGUUACUGUAACUCCGCUCUCGCCCACUCCCACGGAUUCUGUUCUCUGUCCCGAUCGUGUAUGACCUCCGCCCGUCUGACUAGGAUUCAGGAUCUGGAUUUGGUUCGUCUGCUUCCCCCACAAGUUGGCACGCUGCCCUGCAUCAGCGCUUCCCUCCCCAGGCACUUCGUCCCGAGCUCUGCGUCAGCGCAGCAUCUGCUCCACUCCUUAUUCCUCAGCCGAUCCCCACAUUUACUGAACGCCAGUGCUGCAGCUGACGAUCCUGUGCCCGGUUCAAGCUGCCUUUUAAUAAAUAUCAGAUUUACUGCUCACUCCUGUGUCGUGGCUGAAUUUCUGGGUCCCUCUAGUGUACCAUUACAGAGCUGAAGAGUUUUCAAAAAAUGAAGGAGAAGUAUAAUUUAGAUAAACAUGAAUUUUACAGGUACCUGCAAUUGAGAGACUAUUAUAAGAAAGAAAUCAGGUGGGAUCCCUCUGUGGAAGUGAAUGGGGUGAUUAAAAUUGUGAUAAAUUCAUCCAGUGGAACAAAAAUUUAAAUUAUCUCUACUCUAUAUCAAAAAUUGAUGAUGAACAAACAUUCAACUAAAUAUAUAAAAGAAAAGUGGGAGUCAGAGCUGAACACGACAAUUACAGAUGAAGACUGGUUGGAUAUGUGGGAAACACAUCAAACAUCCACCAAUUCACGGAUAUGGAGGGAAUUCUCAUGGAAAAAUCUAAUAUGAUUUUUCAUCAUGCCUAAAGUCCAGAAUAGGUACAAGGGCACAAACAUGGGGUGUUGGAGGAACUGUGGAUCAAUGAAUGCUGAUCAUUCUCACAUAUUCUGGAACUGUCCUGUCAUUGUCCAAUUCUGGAAAAAUGUUCAUGUAACAGUGGAGAAGGUUCUGGGAUAUGAUAUCCCUAUGAGUAGUGAGGUACUAUAUCAUUGCAAUUUUAAUAAUAUCAAAGUAAGGGCAAAAGACAGGUAUCUGAUUAAGAUACUGUUAAUAGCUAGCAAGAAAGCUAUUACGAAGAAAUGGGGAAAGGCGGAUCCCCCUUGUCAAGAACAAUGGACUGGAAUAAUAGAAGAAAUCCACAUUAUGGAAAAACUGACACAUCGUUUGAGACUUCAGCAAACACAAAUGGAAGAGAAGUGGAAGAAAUAGACAAUAUUCAAGACAAAGGUCAGCGACAAGAAAUAAAGAACUAGACAAACUAGAUGGAACUAAGGUCAAAUAGAGGAACAGCUCCCAAGCCAAAGUUUUAUGUUAUGUUAUGUUGAUUGUAAAGUGUUCAUGUAUAUUGUAUAUGUAAGCAAAAAUGGAAAAAACUAAUAAAAAGUUCAAUGAUAAAA